ACGAACGCUGGCGGCGUGCUUAACACAUGCAAGUCGAACGGUGAAGCGCCUUCCUUUUUGGUGGGUGUGGAUGAGUGGCGAACGGGUGAGUAACACGUGAGUAACCUGCCCCCUUCUUCUGGAUAACCGCAUGAAAGUGUGGCUAAUACGGGAUAUUCUGGGUCUGUCGCAUGAUGGGUCUGGGAAAGAUAUUGUUUCGGUGGGGGAUGGGCUCGCGGCCUAUCAGCUUGUUGGUGGGGUGAUGGCCUACCAAGGCGGUGACGGGUAGCCGGCCCGAGAGGGUGGACGGUCACACUGGGACUGAGACACGGCCCAGACUCCUACGGGAGGCAGCAGUGGGGAAUAUUGCACAGUGGGCGCAAGCCUGAUGCAGCGACGCCGCGUGAGGGAUGGAGGCCUUCGGGUUGUGAACCUCUUUCGCCAGUGAAGCAGGCCUGCCUCGUUUGUGGGUGGGUUGACGGUAGCUGGAUAAGAAGCGCCGGCUAACUACGUG
Molecule: ribosomal RNA, 493 nt
Filed under: uncultured bacterium
Lineage: Bacteria
Description: partial 16S ribosomal RNA
Rfam family: Bacterial small subunit ribosomal RNA
Source: RNAcentral